RNAcentral lists this ribosomal RNA (533 nucleotides) under uncultured Lachnospiraceae bacterium. Its description in RNAcentral is "bacterial SSU rRNA". It matches the Rfam family "Bacterial small subunit ribosomal RNA", at positions 77 to 629 of the family's 1533-position model. Lineage: Bacteria; Bacillati; Bacillota; Clostridia; Lachnospirales; Lachnospiraceae. The record is from RNAcentral.
GAUUUAGCUGGCUUCUAGUGGCGGACGGGUGAGUAACGCGUGGGUAACCUGCCNNNNNNNGGGGGAUAACAGUCAGAAAUGGCUGCUAAUACCGCAUAAGCGCACAGAGCUGCAUGGCUCAGUGUGAAAAAAUCCGGUGGUAUAAGAUGGACCCGCGUUGGAUUAGCUAGUUGGUGGGGUAACGGCCCACCAAGGCGACGAUCCAUAGCCGGCCUGAGAGGGUGAACGGCCACAUUGGGACUGAGACACGGCCCAGACUCCUACGGGAGGCAGCAGUGGGGAAUAUUGCACAAUGGGGGAAACCCUGAUGCAGCGACGCCGCGUGAAGGAAGAAGUAUCUCGGUAUGUAAACUUCUAUCAGCAGGGAAGAUAGUGACGGUACCUGACUAAGAAGCCCCGGCUAACUACGUGCCAGCAGCCGCGGUAAUACGUAGGGGGCAAGCGUUAUCCGGAUUUACUGGGUGUAAAGGGAGCGUAGACGGUGUGGCAAGUCUGAUGUGAAAGGCAUGGGCUCAACCUGUGGACUGCAUUGG